Molecule: ribosomal RNA, 253 nt
Filed under: uncultured bacterium
Lineage: Bacteria
Description: partial 16S ribosomal RNA
Rfam family: Bacterial small subunit ribosomal RNA
Source: RNAcentral
UACGAGGGGGGCAAGCGUUGUUCGGAAUUACUGGGCGUAAAGGGUUCGUAGGCGGUGCGGUAAGUCGGAAGUGAAAUCUCUGGGCUUAACUCAGAGGCUGCUUUCGAAACUGCCGUGCUAGAGUGCGGGAGAGGCGAGUGGAAUUGCAGGUGUAGCGGUGAAAUGCGUAGAUAUCUGCAGGAACACCCGUGGCGAAGGCGGCUCGCUGGACCGCAACUGACGCUGAGGAACGAAAGCUAGGGGAGCAAACAGG